This is a long non-coding RNA of Cygnus olor (mute swan), 1855 nucleotides long. RefSeq lists it as uncharacterized. The transcript is spliced from 3 exons. Lineage: Eukaryota; Metazoa; Chordata; Aves; Anseriformes; Anatidae. The record is from RefSeq and is a predicted model, not a curated record.
GUUUCAGCCUGGCAGCGGCUGACACAAUCCCAGUGGCGACUUCAAAGCCAGUGCCUGCCACUGCUCCAAAAAACCUCAGCCUGCUCUACAAAAUCUCAAGCCCACAGAUAGUCGUGUACGCACAAUACCUGUUUGAGGCACCACAGGGAAUGAAGCCACAGACAAAUGUGAUCAGAACUGCUGAAACUUUGAAACUGCUAGCACUGGGCGCCAGAGCUCAAUGCAUCGAAACGCUCAGAUAAAGAGAUCAGAUCAAAAUGUAUGUGGAAAAAUACCAGGACUGCCAGGCUUUUGAAUUCAGUAACCAAUUCUGCUGCAUGAAUUUAGGAACACAUUUUUUGUUCCCACAACUUGCUUCAAGCAACUUCUUCUUCCCUAAGUGCUGACUGAACCAAUUAUCAAGAGUGUCACAAGAAUGGAGAAAAAUAUUCUAUUACCAAAGACCAUGCAGCUUUGCAAUGACCAGAAAAAAGGCUGGUGGGAGCAACAAUCCAAGAUCCAUCCCCAGUUGCAAGAACUGCUGAGCAGUACUGCUAAGCAAGUACUCCACAACUACCAGGGUCAGAACAAGAGUGGUGUAUGAACAUCUCCGCACAGUUAUCCUGCCUAGAGUCACGUACCAAGGACACACAGGGUAAAAAGCUAAUUCAGUACCAGGACACAUGGAAGAAUCUGGCUUCAUUUUUUUCCUUUCUUUUUCUCCUGUUACUUUAUUCCGGAAGCAAUGUAUAUGAAAGAGAAAACUUAUCUGGGGAUUAUUUAUUUUUUGCUAGAAAAUAAGACAUUUAGUAGUACUCCUGCUAAUCUAUAUCGGACACUGAACAAAUGAUUUAAAAGAGCUGGUGCAGGUGGGAAUUGCUGUCCAUACAAGUAGAUUACGCUGGAAAUCAACAUACAUUGUGAAAUAUUUCUGAAAUAAUCCAGUAUUGUCACCUAGUUAUUCCAAGCAUGACGUAAAGGUCUUUCACAGAUGGGUUUAAAGCAGGAUCAACCCAUAAAUGCUUUUUAUUUUACAAUACUUUUAUUCUCUUUCACAGAUUUGACUAUUACAGCAGUGAAAGUAUUACAAGUGACUCAUAACAUUUAGUUCCAAAUAAAAGUAGAAAAACACAAAAACACUAAGGGAAAGUUAAAUGAGAUAUGAUGUGUGGUAAAUGUGUUUUCAGAGCACAGAAAAAAUAUAUAAAAAUACAUUAGGAUCAAGAAAUUUACUGACAGGUUUUGAUUUAGUUACAAUUUUGACACCAUCUAGAAAGCACAGUAUAUUGAAAACUGUUAAUUAGAAAGGUGAUAAAUCCAACAGUAUAUAAAAGGAAAAAAUGAAAAAGAAAAAUGAAAGGAGGGGUGUGUGUGUUGCGGGGAAGUCUAUUUUAUGGCAAACUUCCAGUCCUUUGGCCACUAUAAAGCAAAGUCUGUGGAUUUCAUAUAAAUUCUCUGUAUAAAGGAAUGUCUAUGAACUGUGUACAGUAUGGCCCAGAAUAAACAUCUCAUUAUCAGGCUAAUAGAGCUCCUCACAGAGGAAAAUAAGGUGCUUAUGUCACGGUUUCGACUUCCCAAUAUAAUACUGUCCGGAAUUGGACUAGUGCCCCAAAAUAACAUUUUAGGAACAACACAAAUUCCUUUAAUGGAAAGGAAAUGCAGUAACCUGCCGAUGCUGUAGAAGCAGGGUGCUGGGCAAUGGCCUCACUACUGCACACUUGCUUUAUUUUUAAAGUCUGUGUGGUUGACUGGCAGGGGGUGAGCCUCUGUGUUGAACACCCAGUCGUCCAGGGACAGCACAUCAUCUUCACAGAACAGAAGAUAGAGGUACCUGGAGCCAUAAGGCAAGGGUGGGAGGGAAGAAGACGGACAAAAG